UGGGUAACCUGCCUCAUACACAUGGAUAACAUACCGAAAGGUAUGCUAAUACAAGAUGAUAUAAGAGAUUCGCAUGGAUUUCUUAUCAAAGCUCCGGCGGUAUGAGAUGGACCCGCGUCUGAUUAGCUAGUUGGUAAGGUAACGGCUUACCAAGGCGACGAUCAGUAGCCGACCUGAGAGGGUGAUCCGGCCACAUUGGAACUGAGACACGGUCCAAACUCUACGGGAG
RNAcentral lists this ribosomal RNA (229 nucleotides) under uncultured bacterium. RNAcentral describes it as "partial 16S ribosomal RNA". It matches the Rfam family "Bacterial small subunit ribosomal RNA", at positions 118 to 347 of the family's 1533-position model. The record is from RNAcentral.